GCUCUAUCUCAUCAGUCUGGUGCACACAUCUUUCCAGAAGGGAUUAAAUGUGCCUUGUCUCCUGUGGUCAUAUUAAAGGGCAGAGAGGAGGCAAGGAGCCUUUUACUUCUGGGAGUGUUUUGCCUGGGGUAUUUGCUGCUGGGACAGAGGGAGGAAACAGCAGCCAAACCUCACUGCUGUCCCCAAGGCUAAUGCAGGAGAGCUCUGUGGUGACACCUGAGCCUUGCUUCCCCUGUGCACAGGGCCAAAUCAGCAGGAGAGGGGUGCAGGAAUAGUGUUGGGAAGGGUGAGACUGACUGAGUGCCCAGCAUCCCCACCACGGGCAUGGUUUUGCUUUACUCAGGAUUGCUGAGCUAAGGACACACCACCCUGAGAUGUGUUGUGCAAAAGCCUAAUUUCACCCCUGGGACAAGCCAGUGUCUUUUUCUCCCUUUUCUGUACAUGUUCCUCUUAGUAGAUCAGCCAAAAUCUUCCGCUGUCACUAAAACCGAUGGGUUUUUUGUGUAAAAUGAGAUUUUUGUACUCAUUCAGGCCAGGUCUGGCUGCUCUGCCAGUAGAUGUCCCUGCGUGCCUGGCUGUGGUGGAUGUGCUCUGUCUUUUCCUGGGAAAACUGACUUCUAACACACUGAACUUCACAUCAUCCCUGUUGGGUAUUUUUCAUAUGAAUUUUAAUUUUUUUUUUCUCUCAUUUGGGCUUCUGGUGUAAAGUUUAAUCGAUCUCCACAAAUCUAAAAGCUGAACUUAAAAGGAAAGAUCAUUAUUUUAUUGCAAAGCCACCUUUUUACAACCUUUAAAUAUUUUUGUGUUUGUUUAUAAAACAGAGUACUGACACCAGACCAAGUCCGUGAACCUCUUUACCCUGCUCUGUCCUUCACUCCUGUUCUACAUCAUGCAUUCAAAUAACUUCCACAUUUUUUUGCCUUCCUUGGAUUGCAGCAUUUUCUUGAAGCAGAUACUGCUUUGGUGUGCUGAAUUGAACAAAACAAGAUAAAAUGAAACCAAAUAGUGCUGAGCACCAGAUCCUCAGUGCUUGGUUGGAGCCACUUGGCAAUUUUACAGAUGCUGAGAGUCUCAACCUUCAGCCUGUAAGGUGUUUCCUGUAAUAUGAGAAUUUAUCAGUUGGCUUUCAGAACCACAUAGUCAUUGUUAUUCCAGGCCAAAGCUUAAACUCAAAAUCAGAGCUGCGAGGACUUAGCAUGAGCUUCCAGAGGUCAAAUCCUGCAGCCUUUAGCCAGGCAAACUAAACCUCUGGGUUGGUAGGAUUUUGUCUACGCGAGGACUGUGGUGUCUGCAGAGCAUGAGUCAAGCACGAGUCAGGCUCCUGCAGGAGGGAAGGCACUGAAGGGUAUUUCCACCCAUCCUUGCAGCCCUGCUCUCCCUGGGAGUGAUGAAGAGUGACAGUGGAACAAGAGCCGCCCAUCUCAGCUGUCAAGGGCCUCACCAGGAACGAGAAGCUCGAUCUCAGGGUGCCGAGGAUCUCAACCUUAUCAAACACGGCAUCCCUCUGGGUGGAGCUGUGGGAAUCCGAGGGAAAUGUCCUCUGCCAUCUGCAUGGGGAGCUGUGUCAUCCUAUUUUCCAAGGAGUAAAAGUUCACCCCAACAUGUGUUGCAUGGGAGGCGCGUCUUUGGGAGGAAAGGGCGCGGUGACGGGAGGUACUGGGAGUGGUGAAGCGUUCUCAGCGAUUUUUUUUUCUGCCUUGCACCCAAAUGUUUCUGUGCCUUGCAAAUUGGGGGGGGGGUCAGGUGUUGAAGCUCUCAUGGUUUUUACAGCUCACAGGUCCUCCACUGUGUUUCUAAUAAAGCCAUCAAGAGCACAACCGGGAGCUCCCAGCACGAUCUUACGCAAUAUAAGUCAGCGCUUCAGAGGACUCUCUUGACUCGGGGCUGGAUGCACUCAAAAAUCUUCCAAGUUAUUCUCUCCUAAUUCAAGUCAGCUGAGGCAUCAAAAUGUCGGGCAGAUGGACAAGAUCCCUUGUCAGAAAACAGCCAGCCUGUUUUCUGCUGUUACUCUUGUUACAGUCAAAACUUAGAGUCUUUUAUUGUAACUGGUUUUUAUUUAAUCAGUGAUAUUUUGAGAACUUAACAUUUACAUAAGUAUACUAAAGGAGAUUCCUAUGUGCUUUCUAGUGUAAAACACUGUGCUCUAAGAAUACCCUAAACUGGAUCAAACAGUGUUUUUAUCUUAAAACCAUAGUUUUCCUUCAUUUCUUUCCUUUUCUUUCUCUUCAUAUGGCUAUUAAGAAUUAUUUGAUUUAUAGACAGUGCUUAAGGACAGUCACUACUGCAUUUCCUUGGUCAAGAAAGAGAAAGGAUUUUCUUGUCAGUCGUAUUUUCUGACUUACUAACUUCAAUUGUGCUUCAUGUUAGGGAGACACAAGAGAACAGAUAAAUAAGUGAAGUACGGCCCAAGUUCAUACUUUCGUUUUUAUUUUUGCAGUGAUUUAAAUAGUUGGGAAGAUCUCCUGCCUCUGCCUCUCUCCUCCAGUGGAUGGCAGUUGAGUACCACGGAACGGAGCAGAGCUGACUUGCACCUCGUUGUACCUCUCUCAAGGAGGCAACCGCUGAUUGGAAUUAGCUGUUCUUUGCCUGUGUGAAAUAUCACUCAGAAAUACCUGAAGAAUUAGAAAAGGAAGAAAUGGAACGCGUUUUCAAUUUAAACUGCUUUGUUACUAGAGCAGGAGCAGAUCUAAAAGUUUCCUUCAGCAGCUGAGGGGGGAAAAAAGGAGUCUUAUAUCCAUAUACACAAGUUUCAAGUGUUUCCUUUUUAUAUGUUAAUCUGAAUUUUCCGUAUAUGGGUGCUAAUGAAAAAAAGUUCCUGAUUUUCAUUUUGUUUCCUGACCUCCACAGUCUUUAGAUUUUAAUACUAUACUCAUAAUUUCAGCACGAAGAAUAAUUUUUAAAGGCAAAUUUUCCUUUCUUGAAGUCUCAGCUGUACCAGAAAGAAUGGGACAACUCCCAGGGACUGGGAUUGCCAUGUGAAUUUAGUCAUCAUUGAAACUGUGACUGGUUUUGAAAUAUUCCCCUAAAAGAAAAGUUUAAAACAAACAUUCCAAUCAGAAACAGAAACCUAACCACGUUCCUCUUAAAAACAGGUCUCCUUCAACUCCUCCAGUUUAUAGCACAUACCCUUGGGCUAUUGCAGUCUAGAAAAAUCUGAAAUAAAACCACGCUGUUUUCUGGGUCUGAUCAUGCAUCACUCGCUCAAAAAGAAGUUUAGGGCCUCCUGAGACAUACAAGGUUUAGGCCUUCUUGACACAUGUUGCUUCUUUUUAAAGAAAACAGUCUAGUGCACCUUUAUGUUAAAUACAUCAUUUUAGUUUUCUUCCCUUUAUAAGGAGUCACAGAUGGAUUGAAACAGAAAGCUUUAAAAAAUAUUUGCAAUUCCAGUUGUAUACAAAUAACAUUGUGGCCAGUAUCCUAGUUGUUUUAAUAGAAGUUAUUUACUUUUCAAAUUUUAUUUGCUUCUCCAACUAGUCUCAUGCUGUUGUAGUAUAAGAUCAGACAUAAAUAACUGUUUACACCAAAAAUUAAGUUUCUGUAAGUAACUAUUUUAAAACAUUUCCUUUUAUGUUUACUGCUGAAGGAUCUCGAGCACUCCUGCCAGAAAGGAAAGUAUUUAUUAUCUCUCUUUUACAGAUGAGGAAACUGAGACACUGUGAAAUUAAAAGCUUUGGGAAAUUAGUGCACAGUAAAUUACGGUGUGAAUUUACUGUGUACCAACCACCCCGCACGAACUCAUCAUGUGGACUGGCAAAGAAAAAGGAUUAAACUCCCUUAAACUAUCUCACAUUUGCCAUGGACAGACAGUUGCCAUGGAUCAGCUGACACACAGAACUUCUCAACCCACACUGGUUUACCUAAAAAUCACAGAAGGAAAUCUCUGGCAGGACUAAGACUCGAGUAUCCUCGCAGCCUUGAAAAGAAGUAGAGUUAAAAACAAAGUAUUGGAGGGGAUAAACUUUUUUUUUGAAGGACGGAGCAGCUGCAGGGGCUGAACUUCUGAGCAUAAAUAUACAGAAAUGAACACCUUCAUAACAUCCACUCAUUUCCAGAGUGUUACAAUAUAAAAUACAAUGGGAUCAGGACACUAUUUACUUCAAUCCCUCUCACCCCAAAGGCAUCAUGGUCUCCUUGCUGACAGCAAGAAGCAGUCUACUGUGUCCCUUGCUGAUGUGCCUCCUCUGAAGGAAUCAGGAGCAAUGGUGACUCUUGUGGAGAUGGUCACUGCUGGAGCUGGAGGAGGAGAUGGAUUCCAAGGGAAAGUCUGUGGCUGUUUCCAGAAAUGAGCAAGAGGUGCAGCACGAGCCCUGUGACAGGGACAGCCCAGGCUGCUGUGUCUGAUGAGGAGAGGAAGGUCUGCACACACCUGGGAGGCUGGCAAAGGAGAAAGGUAAUUAAGCUGGACUCAUAGACAUUUAGUUUUUAAUUUUAAGAAAGAGCUUUCCCGUGACAAUGGAGUGCACAGUUUCAAGAUGAAAUUCAGCCCAGGAAAGACCUAUGGACUGGCACAGAAAAUGUGAAAUACCACAUGAGCUCUGCUAAUGGGUCAGUACAGCUGUAAGAAGUCAAUGCAGUAUCAGCCGAUACCUGGGAGAAGAAAACCAGGAACACAUUUCUCUCUGCAGAGCAAUUCCAGCACACCUUAAGCCUCUGAACAACGCUGGCAUGAGAUCCUAAUGCACAAGAACUACAUGAAAAUGAAACAAUUUGCCAUUACCAUUUUUACAAACACCUGGAUGCAUUGCCUGAGUGCAGAGAAGUUUGGCCAGGGUCAUGGAUAUUCUCUUCCUGAGACUGGGAUAUUCAACAGAGGACAGUACAGCUGCUGGCAUCACAUCAACCACCCAUGGCUUAUGGUGAGUUUCAGCUCAAUAACACCUUCACUGCAAAGAAUUGAGAGGUUCCCUAAAUGCCAGCCAGGUACAAAUCUUCACAGAGUGUGAGUGACAGGGCAGCUUGAUGUUUAUGAAGGAAGAUUUUGUCUUGAAGCUUGGAUGGGUGAGUCGGUGUAAAUUACAAAUGACUUUUUUUUUUUUUACCUCAGAAUCUAUUAUAGACUAUUUUAAAAAUUAAUAUUAUUGCUUUAGAGACUACCAUCUGGUAGCUUUCAGCUAUCAACUCUGCAAGGCUCAGGCAGGUUAGACCUGAGGAAGCACAAAAUUACUUUUGUGCUUGAUGUUCAUCUUACACCAAGGUUGUGGAGGCUUUUGGUCAGGCACUGCCUUUGUUUGUUUUCUUUGUUUUUGUGCAGCUAGGUAACAUAGCUGGGCCCAGCUCCACAGAGGGUGUCUUGGGCAUGACUGCACUGCAACCCAAAAAUCAUUACAACCAGACAAUCAGCUCUCAGAGCAUGCCAGGGUCUGCUUUUCCUUUGAAAGGGAGUUGAAGCACUUGUGGAGGUUUAAUCGAAAUCUGAAUACAUGUGACUGAAAUUGGCUCCCUGUGAUUAUUUAUACAAGUAAAUCUCUGCUUCUCACAAGUUCCCAGAAAUCAAAUGCCAGACUUGUAUGAUCAUUUUUUAAAAAAGAAGUAAAUAUUUGUUGAAAAUUCUUUGCUGUAUUAAUUUUCCUCUGCCUUCUCUCAGGCAGCCCUGAUAGCAAUGGAGAGACUCCUGGUGUGCAUCAAUCAGCCUAGAGAAGAGGGACCAAAAUAGCUGAUUACUGUAUCUGUAGUGUCUUAUCCUCAGAACAAAACCAAAUUUUCAGUUAGCUUUUAGAAUGGCUCGUUUUCCUCAUCCAUCUGCAUGCCCAGCUAAAAUCUUCCAGGAAAUAUUUCAACAGUAGGUAUGUCAGGUACAGGUAUUUUAAGGAGGAGGUAGUUUAAGCCAAGGGCUGCAUAUUUCCAUGUUUUCCUGACCCCUAGUCAAAAACCCAUCUGCCACUAAGUGGUUUAUAACUUAACAGUCAGCCACCACUAUUUUUUAAAGUGUUCUAUAGUGUUUAUAAUGCCAGUCCCUGUUGCUAACCCUUUUUUUUUUCUUUAACUUUCUUUACUUUCUUUUUUUUUUUGUUGUGGUAACCCUUUUACCUUCUUUUUCCCUGCUCAGACCCAUUAGCAGGAUGUUGUGCAAUAUGGUGCUUGUCAUCUGUUUCAAAGACACAGUGAUGAGAUACAGGUAUGCCAGAUGGAUAAACCUAGUGUGACUAAUUAUUGUGUAUUUGCCUUUAAUUAUUAUCAUUUAUUACCAGAGAAAAGACAAUAGAGGUUCCCAGACUCAGAAGGGAAUGUCGGCAGAAGGGGAAUUUUUGUCUUUUUGGUUUUUUUUUUUCUUUUUUUCUUUUCAAGAGACUGGCAUAUCAGCAAGAAAAGUUUUCUUCUUGGAGAGAAAUACUGCAAAACAUCUGAGACAAGAGGAGACAACAUGACCCAGGGAAUACUUUCCUUUCCCUGGCACAUACUUGAGGAUCAGAUCUCUCACAGGUGCCUGCUGAGGACAGACACUUCACUCAACUCAGAACUCAUCCUGGCUUGCCGGAGGAUUUUGAAAGAGUCUAGAAGGUUGACAGUGAUCUGAGCCUUGGUUUUAAUACUGUCUUGACACUCUGAAGGUUUUAAUGGACAAUGAGUCACUAUGGAGGCAACGAGGAGCAAUAAGCAGAUGGAUUUCUGCUGGUGCAGCCAGAUCUCUGCUACCUGUUUUCCUUGUCCAAAGUGUUUUAAAUAGGUCAUGGAGGUCUCUUAUGCUGGUCAUUCCCAACCAGUGGGUUUGUCCUGAAGCUGGUAAAGAUUAGAACAAACAAUAUAUCUUGUUAAAUGAGUCACCACUAGUCCUUUGUUACCUUUUACUGUUUGUUUGAACUUACUUUCCAUCACAAUCUAAAGGCUUUUCCCAUCUCCUUUUCCAGUGGAGGGUUUGUGCUGCUUAUUGCCUCUUUCUUCCCUUCAAUUAUGCGAGCCAUGCAAGCAUUUCCCCUUGAACACUUUCCAGCUCCCCCACCCCGUACCUCACCCACUCUGUGUCCUCCCCCUCGUUUGCACAGCUCCCUUCUCCACUGUGUUUCCUGCACUGCCUCCACUGAUUGCACUUAGCAUGGAUGUGGUGGGGAAGGGAGGGUGGAAAGGGAGAAAGUGGAGAGAGGACUUCUGAGGAAUCUGUGCCAGUUUCGAACUGGAGGCUCAAUCUGCAUAUGGGAAAGAUGGAAGAUGUAAAAUAGGCAGCAGAAGGAAGGGGAGAGAGGAACAGAUUCAAGACCAGGUCCAGAGUUACCAGAGACAGCCUCAGGGCAGGAGCAUGUUGGUUGUCACCUUUUUAGAGGGAGCAAGGAAGCACCUGGAAGCUGCAGAGGUGAGAUCCUGGGAGAUCCAGUCCCUGCUCUCCACGUGAUGCAAAAUUCAGAGGGUGAGGCUUGUGGAGCUCUCCCUGCCACCUCUCCUGGCAAAAGGUUAUUCAGCAUGUGGGAGAGGUUGUUUUGUUUCUUCCUUAUUGUUCCACACCCCUUGACCACUCACUCUACUACAAUUGCUUGUCUAAAGCACAGUUCACUGCCUCUGUCCCCACUCCCAUUUCAAAACCUCAGGAAAAAGGACACUGACACCACAGAAGCAAUGAGCUGCACGUCGGGGCCUUUCUUGCAGGCUGGGGAUGAAAUCUGCCUGGAGGACUUGCAAAAUUCAGUCCCUGCUCUCCCCACGGUGAGAUGUGGAUGUAAACAUUGCCACUUUCUCAGAACAGCUUUUAAGAGUGAGUAUUUGUCUCAGAAAGAACAAACACACGCCAUCAAACAACAACCCAGCCAACAAACAAGCCCUCAGAGACCGGUAGCUCCCAAAAAUCAGCACUCUCUGAAACUUCACUCAUUUGGAUUCAAAGGUACCUGGAUGCAGAACACUUGAGCUGGAGAAACUGCACAUCUGUGGCGUGGGUUUAUUUAUUUAUUUACCUGUUUUCCAAUCUUGCACCUGCCUACUUUAGCUGAUCUCUAGCUAUCAAAUUGUGAUGGAGCAAAAGUAAUAAAAUGCCUGUAGGAUAGAAAAACCCUGCCUGAAGUUCUCCCAUAGCUCAACCAGACCUAGAAGACGCACAAUUCAAUUAAAAGAAAUAUAAAGUUAUUCUCUCCUCACCUUGCCAUUUUCCCCUUCUCUUCUGUGCAUUUCAUACAUCCAUAGAUAUAUAUAUAUAAAAAUAAAUGCACACAUACACACACGCACACACGCACAAACCCACCCCUCCCCUUCCCAAUCCUUCCUUUAAGGUUUAAUUUAACAAUAACAUUUGCGAUCGGGGUCCUGAGCAUCUCAAGGGCAUUGCGCUUGAAAUUGCACACACUCCGCACCAUUUAUCAUAGCCUGACAUGUGUCAUGUUCCAGACUGCAGCUCCAAGAGGUUACAGCUCACGACUGCUCCUUUGUUGAUCAGCUGCCGAGACAACUGAGGCACCUUUCUUUCUUUUUUUCUUUCUUUUCCUUCUUUCUAUUUUUUUUUAUUAUUAAAGCUGCACCAUCCUCUUUUCAUAGGGUUUGUUCUGACACAAUGGAAAAAGAAAAUGAAUUCUUCUCUGCUCUGUCCAGUUCCCCCUCCAGAUCUUCAUCGACCCAGAUUCUGAUCACAUUUUAUUUGGGUUCAACAGCAAAGCUUUGGCUGGUUAAUAUUACUGCUUAAUACUGGAUGGGAGAGGGAUAAACUGUUUCCAAGGUAGUUCUGUGCUUGAGAAGAAGAACAGGGUGUAUAAGUGCUGAGGAUAUUGGGCACAGUGCUGAGGCAGCCCAAAAGUGUUUUUCUGUGGCAGCAUCCAGGCUUGCCAGGCCAGUGAGUUCCUUCCAUUGCUGAACUUCAGGGAAACAAAUAUCCUCCUCUCCAGAGCUUCUAUUUCAUUUACUCCACCUCUCCCCUUUCACUUCCUUGGUGCCUUGCAGAUUUCUUGCUGCAUGCAGAGCACCCGAGACCUGCGUGUAUCUUUGCAGGAAUGAUGCAUACAGAAAUUCAGCAAACCAGGCUGUUUAUAAACAGGAGCCACUGAAUUGCAUUCAUAAAUCACUUGUAGAUCCUACGUUUGCCAGUCUUCAUCCUGCCAAUCAACAUUUGUACAGGGUAUGGGUACAGGUGUCAUUGCAACUUAAUGUGUAAAGGAUGCAAGGUACUACUGAUAGCAGGGAGAGGAGCCUGAACACUGGUCUAAGAUCUGAACAAAAGCAGAUUUUGUAUUGUUCCUCAUUCUCAAGAAUGUUGAUGUAUCAAGUGAGCUACUAAUUUAUUUUUUAACUAUUUAUAAUGAAGAGUUCUUGAAAUGCUGAACUGGAGCAAAUCUCUUCAUUUCCUCUCCCUGUUUUCAUGUUCUGCUCUGUCCUGGAAGACCUCAGGCCUGAAGGUUGAGAUCCCAAAGCCUGUCAGUGUUUUGGAAUGAUACUUGAUCUUUCAGAUUCCUGUUCCCCUGUGAGCUCCAAACCACGCAACGUUCAUCACCACCUGUUAGCAUCAAGCACAGCCUCUGCCGACACAGUUGGAGUUGUCUUACUUUCUCUCACACUCUCAGCUCUUGGUGGAUAUUUUCGGAGGUUUCCUCGGUUUAGAGGCACUUGAUUAAUCAGUAGUGCCAGAUGGGAUGUCUCAACUAUUACCACCAUGUAUGUGUCACACGCCUAUUGGAUUCACAAACAGAGGGUUUUCUUGCCGUUGGCCAGCAAGGUUUUGCACUUUAUCCUUCAUUAUAUGUUUUUUGCCCAUGUCAGACCUCGUUGCCUUCCCUCUAGAAGUCUGAUCUGAACAGCUUCUUGCUGCCUGAAGGAUGCCUUGUUUUCCCCCUGUUUCUCAAGGAGAGAAAAUCUCAGUUUUGUGUCUGUAGCUGGGUAGCCCCACACUCACAGCAUCCUCUCUGAGCUGCCCCAGGGCUCAGCACAGAGCAUGGUCCCCACUGCCCGUGAUGCAUUUCUCCCUUGCAUCACUGCUAGCAAUGGUGACCUUGGCUUGUGCUUGAUCCCUGCCCUCCCCCUUUGCCAGCAUCCAGGCACCUGCCUGGCCCUGCAGGAGGAAGCAGUGCCACCAGCUGGGAUGGCGUGGGCCAGCUUCCAGCCACAUCCCUCUGCCUGUCCUGGGGAGAGCAGCCACCUGCACAGCCCCAC
Prinia subflava (tawny-flanked prinia) is the source of this 10056-nucleotide long non-coding RNA. RefSeq lists it as uncharacterized. The transcript has 9 exons. NCBI's taxonomy places the organism in Eukaryota, Metazoa, Chordata, Aves, Passeriformes, Cisticolidae. The record is from RefSeq and is a predicted model, not a curated record.